This 720-nucleotide ribosomal RNA is filed under the name Triticum aestivum (bread wheat). RNAcentral's name for it is "partial small subunit ribosomal RNA". Lineage: Eukaryota; Viridiplantae; Streptophyta; Magnoliopsida; Poales; Poaceae. The record is from RNAcentral.
AUGUAUCAUUCGACUCUGGGUAAAACACCAUCCAUGGUGGUCUAUGGUCAGGAGCCGAGGCAGUUGGGCAUUACACCAGAGCAUGCAGCGCCACCCCUAGAACUAGAACAGUGGUUAGAUGAAAGACAGCAGAUGCAAGAUCUCCUUAGGCAACACCUGGUCAGGGCAAAGCAAAUUAUGAAGAGUCAAGCAGACAAGCACCAUUCAUGGCGUGAGUUUCAAAUGGGAGACCAAGCCUUUCUGAAGUUACAACCGUACAUUCAGACAUCGGUUGCUCGGCGUGCCAACCACAAGCUUAGUUUAAAGUUCUAUGGACCUUUCACGGUGAUCAGGCGCAUCAACGACGUCACCUACGAGCUCCAGCUGCUCGCCAAUUCAUGCAUCUUUCCGGUGUUUCAUGUGUCACAGCUGCGACACACUUUGCUUCCAGGUGCGAGCGCUUCCUCUCAUCUCCCUGCAGUUACUGACAAUCUCAACACUCCAGUGAAGAUUUUGGACCGGCGCUGGCACCGAAACUCGCGCAAGAUAAGGGAACAAGGUCUGGUCCGUUGGCAAGAUGAAGCAGCUACGCAAGAUACUUGGGAAGACAUGGAAGAUCUCAAGCGACGAUUUCCGCAGGCUCCGACUUGGGGUCAAGUCGGUUCUGAAGAAGGACAGGGUGUCAGCGACCUGACGAGGGAACCAGCAGCAGCCCAAGACACGGAGACGGGAAGCACAUGA